RNAcentral lists this transfer RNA (66 nucleotides) under Chelonus munakatae. RNAcentral describes it as "tRNA-Thr". Lineage: Eukaryota; Metazoa; Arthropoda; Insecta; Hymenoptera; Braconidae. The record is from RNAcentral.
UGUUAAAUAGUUUAUAAAAAAUAUUAAUUUUGUAAAUUAAUGAAAUAAAAAAAUUUUUUUUAACAA